RNAcentral lists this long non-coding RNA (580 nucleotides) under Capsicum annuum. RNAcentral's name for it is "long non-coding RNA (CANN_LNC006150)". The record is from RNAcentral. Lineage: Eukaryota; Viridiplantae; Streptophyta; Magnoliopsida; Solanales; Solanaceae.
UUGAGAACUGAGAACUACUUUUGCUUUAUUCAAGUUCAAGUAAAUCCAAAAGCAACAUUGUUUUCGCUUUUACAUCGACCUAGUAAUAUAGUAACGACUUAUUCAAUACUUAUAUAAAAGAAAGAACAUAAAUAAUUAAUUUAAUGUAAUUAACUGAAAAAAAAAAAAAAAGGAAUCCAAGACAAACUUCAAGAUAUUAUCAUGAAAUUUCACCCGUAGAAUUGUCUGAUAGCGAUUAUUUUCCAAAGGUAAGAUCAUAAAAUGUCCAUUAGGGACAUUUCGAGUAAUUGGUCAUGCCAGGGCUAGGCAUAGAAAGCUUGAUUCCUUCGAAAGAGAAAGAAUCCAUUGAUAUAUGUCCCUCGCCCCUCGAACUUGGUCCUCCUGUUUUAAUUGCUACAGCAUAUGAUCUUCCCAGAAUUUUUUCGAUCACAUUUUUCAUGAUCUGAUUAUCAACAUCAUUAAGAAGACGAGCUUCGCUAUUAAAUAAAAAUAAAGAGCUCAGAAAGAAAAGAAUUGCGAUUAAAAUGGUGAAAAAAUUGAGACCGCUUGCCAUUGUUGAUGACGACUAAUAGAGUUCAAU